This 179-nucleotide non-coding RNA is filed under the name Vibrio sp. Its description in RNAcentral is "Lysine sequence". It matches the Rfam family "Lysine riboswitch aptamer". From Rfam's summary of the family: Riboswitches are metabolite binding domains within certain messenger RNAs that serve as precision sensors for their corresponding targets. Allosteric rearrangement of mRNA structure is mediated by ligand binding, and this results in modulation of gene expression. This family includes riboswitches that sense lysine in a number of genes involved in lysine metabolism, including lysC. The record is from RNAcentral. Lineage: Bacteria; Pseudomonadati; Pseudomonadota; Gammaproteobacteria; Vibrionales; Vibrionaceae.
UUAUGUGGAAGAGGAGCACUACCCAGGUAGAUAAUUUGUGGAACCGCAAUUCCAAUACGAAUUAUUCAGGGGGAGUAGUGCCGAGGUAAGUCAAAUUUGCAGGGUUUGACUUGUCGGUUGACGUGGGUUGAGUCCCAUCAACUGUCAUCAGCAUUGUCUGAUGAAGAGCUUCUGAGGGU